RNAcentral lists this non-coding RNA (24 nucleotides) under Arabidopsis thaliana (thale cress). Lineage: Eukaryota; Viridiplantae; Streptophyta; Magnoliopsida; Brassicales; Brassicaceae. The record is from RNAcentral.
AGCCAACGUGGCAAAUGUAGUUAC